GAUGAAGAACGCAGCGAAAUGCGAUAAGUAAUGUGAAUUGCAGAAUUCAGUGAAUCAUUGAAUCUUUGAACGCACAUUGCGCCCGCCAGUAUUCUGGCGGGCAUGCCUGUUCGAGCGUCAUUUCAACCAUCAAGCCCCCGGCUUGUGUUGGGGACCUGCGGCUGCCGCAGGCCCUGAAAACCAGUGGCGGGCUCGCUAGUCACUCCGAGCGUAGUAAUACAUCUCGCUCAGGGCGUGCUGCGGGUUCCGGCCGUUAAAAAGCCUUAUUUACCCAAGGUUGACCUCGGAUCAGGUAGGAAGACCCGCUGAACUUAAGCAUAUCAAUAAGCGGAGGA
This 335-nucleotide unclassified non-coding RNA is filed under the name soil metagenome. RNAcentral's name for it is "partial contains 5.8S ribosomal RNA, internal transcribed spacer 2, and large subunit ribosomal RNA". The stretch from base 1 to 120 matches the Rfam family "5.8S ribosomal RNA", at positions 35 to 154 of the family's 154-position model. The record is from RNAcentral.